UGAACGCUAGCUACAGGCUUAACACAUGCAAGUCGAGGGGCAUCAGGAAGAAAGCUUGCUUUCUUUGCUGGCGACCGGCGCACGGGUGAGUAACACGUAUCCAACCUGCCCUUUACUCGGGGAUAGCCUUUCGAAAGAAAGAUUAAUACCCGAUAGCAUAAUGAUUCCGCAUGGUUUCAUUAUUAAAGGAUUCCGGUAGAGGAUGGGGAUGCGUUCCAUUAGGUUGUUGGUGAGGUAACGGCUCACCAAGCCUUCGAUGGAUAGGGGUUCUGAGAGGAAGGUCCCCCACAUUGGAACUGAGACACGGUCCAAACUCCUACGGGAGGCAGCAGUGAGGAAUAUUGGUCAAUGGGCGCUAGCCUGAACCAGCCAAGUAGCGUGAAGGAUGAAGGCUCUAUGGGUCGUAAACUUCUUUUAUAUAAGAAUAAAGUGCAGUAUGUAUACUGUUUUGUAUGUAUUAUAUGAAUAAGGAUCGGCUAACUCCGUGCCAGCAGCCGCGGUAAUACGGAGGAUCCGAGCGUUAUCCGGAUUUAUUGGGUUUAAAGGGAGCGUAGGUGGACUGGUAAGUCAGUUGUGAAAGUUUGCGGCUCAACCGUAAAAUUGCAGUUGAUACUGUCAGUCUUGAGUACAGUAGAGGUGGGCGGAAUUCGCGGUGUAGCGGUGAAAUGCUUAGAUAUCACGAAGAACUCCGAUUGCGAAGGCAGCUCACUGGACUGCAACUGACACUGAUGCUCGAAAGUGUGGGGUAUCAAACAGGAUUAGAUACCCUGGUAGUCCACACAGUAAACGAGGAAUACUCGCUGUUUGCGAUAUACAGUAAGCGGCCAAGCGAAAGCAUUAAGUAUUCCACCUGGGGAGUACGCCGGCAACGGUGAAACUCAAAGGAAUUGACGGGGGCCCGCACAAGCGGAGGAACAUGUGGUUUAAUUCGAUGAUACGCGAGGAACCUUACCCGGGCUUAAAUUGCAGUGGAAUGAUGUGGAAACAUGUCAGUGAGCAAUCACCGCUGUGAAGGUGCUGCAUGGUUGUCGUCAGCUCGUGCCGUGAGGUGUCGGCUUAAGUGCCAUAACGAGCGCAACCCUUAUCUUUAGUUACUAACAGGUUAUGCUGAGGACUCUAGAGAGACUGCCGUCGUAAGAUGUGAGGAAGGUGGGGAUGACGUCAAAUCAGCACGGCCCUUACGUCCGGGGCUACACACGUGUUACAAUGGGGGGUACAGAAGGCAGCUAGCGGGUGACCGUAUGCUAAUCCCAAAAGCCUCUCUCAGUUCGGAUCGAAGUCUGCAACCCGACUUCGUGAAGCUGGAUUCGCUAGUAAUCGCGCAUCAGCCACGGCGCGGUGAAUACGUUCCCGGGCCUUGUACACACCGCCCGUCAAGCCAUGGGAGCCGGGGGUACCUGAAGUACGUAACCGCAAGGAUCGUCCUAGGGUAAAACUGGUGAAA
This 1444-nucleotide ribosomal RNA is filed under the name uncultured organism. RNAcentral describes it as "SSU rRNA". It matches the Rfam family "Bacterial small subunit ribosomal RNA". The record is from RNAcentral.